GCAAGUCGAACGAGAAGCUCUAGCUUGCUAGAGUGGAAAGUGGCGAACGGGUGCGUAACGCGUAGGCAAUCUACCCUCAGGCGGGGAAUAACUACUCGAAAGAGUAGCUAAUACCGCAUAACAUCUUUUGAUCGCAUGAUCGAGAGAUCAAAACUCUGGUGUCUGGGGACGAGCCUGCGUCGGAUUAGGUAGUUGGUAAGGUAACGGCUUACCAAGCCUACGAUCCGUAGCUGGUCUGAGAGGAUGAUC
Molecule: ribosomal RNA, 249 nt
Filed under: uncultured bacterium
Lineage: Bacteria
Description: partial 16S ribosomal RNA
Rfam family: Bacterial small subunit ribosomal RNA
Source: RNAcentral